RNAcentral lists this long non-coding RNA (1672 nucleotides) under Arabidopsis lyrata. RNAcentral describes it as "long non-coding RNA (ALYR_LNC001087)". The record is from RNAcentral. Lineage: Eukaryota; Viridiplantae; Streptophyta; Magnoliopsida; Brassicales; Brassicaceae.
CGGUUUAAGGAUGUGAGAGCUCAAUAAACAAACCGUUGAGAGUCUCCUGUGUCCCUUUUGUAGUCAGAGGUUUUGGCCAAAGGUGAAGACUUUAUCGUCGUAGAUUAAAUUAAACCCUCGCUUUUGUGUUUCAAGUGGCUUCGGGUUCGUUUUCACUUUCUUGUUUCGAUUGCUGCAGCGAAACCAUCGGAGAAAUCUUUGAAGAUCAUGAGGAAUUUCUCCGAGCAAUAUGGUCGUCGCUCGGCUCAGGGACCUACUUCUGUGUUGAUAAAGGUAUGAAAUUAACUAUAAAGUUUUGAAAUUUAUUGUGUAAUUGUGAUGAAUAAUGAAUAUAUGGUGGUUUUGUUUAAUGAUUCUAUAAUUCUGGGCAAGUUAUGAAUUAUUUGGAGUCUUUUACUUGGAAAUAAUGAGUUUGCAGAAGAAAUUGAAUUAAUGCAAGUGAACAUCUUGAGAUAUUCUAUUGUUUAGCUAAUCUAGUGGCUGAGUUUUCUUCUAUUUAGAGAAGGAAUUGAGUUAAUACUGCAAGUGAAGAUCUAGUGUUUAAGUGUGUUACUCUUUUUGACUGAAGCAUAAACAAUCAUAUGGACGGUGCACCAUUUUUCCGUUUGCUUCCGGGCUCUCAUUACUUCUAAGAGCAUUUGAAAGUGUAUGAACACAAAGUCUAAUCCUUGUUUUUGGUGUACACAUUACGAUGAUAAAGCUGCUGAGUUUGGACUAGGCUUUUGGAAUUGUCCAUGUGUUGCAAUGAGAGAGAGGUAGCAAGUAGCUCUAUGUGGCUGCAUAAGCAUAUUGUGUGUGUUAGUUAUAUAAGUAGAACUAAGCAUAUGGGAAACACCAGUUAUAUGUUAUAUUAAGCUGAAUUGUCUCCAGCUUGUUUAUGGUUAUUAGUUGGAUAGAAUUUAGCAGCACAUGCACUUUCACUUUCCAUACCGAUGUCACCAUUGUAUCAUGAUUGAUGCUGAGGAUGUAUACACCAGAUUGCUUCAAUUCUAUAGUAGCUCUUUCGUAGACUGUUGGCAUAUUUGGCCCGUUUUUUGUGGUUCAGAACGUAGCUUAUUAGGGUCUUUUAACAAGUACAUAUAUAAAUGUGAAAAUGUUGGCACCCUGACUUGAUUUUCUUUUGACAGAUAAGGACAUCGUUGAAGAAGUCAGGAACACUGCAACGGUAACUAGUCUUGGUCAUGCGGUUUAGCGUGGCUAAGCUCUGAUUCCUCCACAGUGGCUCUGUCUUGUCUUUUCUCAUCACAGGUAUGUAACAUUCUCUUUUUUUCAACCCUGUUUCAGUGAUUCUCUGUGCUGGAAAAUAAUAAUCAUCGCAACUUUUAAACGGAACAACAUAAGCAUUACAGUUUCAGUAAACAUGAGAACAAGUGGGUGGUUUUUGGACACUAAUAUUUGCAAGCUUCACACUGCUAUUAUUGUUUUUCUUGUGAUGAUUCCUUUCCUACCAUAAUGUCUACCAUAAUAUUUCCAUUAUGUCUGCUGCAGCUUCCCACUUCUCUUGACCUUUAUCUCCUGAUGGUUCCAAAAUUUUUCACACUUCCAUUAUAUUUCCACCUUGCUUUGCUUUGAGUUUGAGCAGUGUAGCUACCCACUCGUCUCGACCUCUACCAUAUAAAAACGAUCCUAACAGUCUGAAAGAUGUGACUUCAUACACAUGCUUCACUCCGGC